RNAcentral lists this small RNA (258 nucleotides) under Paenibacillus larvae subsp. larvae. RNAcentral's name for it is "BsrG". It matches the Rfam family "BsrG". From Rfam's summary of the family: bsrE, bsrG and bsrH pair through intermolecular interactions with antisense sRNAs. SR4 interaction with the 3'UTR of bsrG RNA promotes bsrG degradation and inhibits its translation. Lineage: Bacteria; Bacillati; Bacillota; Bacilli; Caryophanales; Paenibacillaceae. The record is from RNAcentral.
GCAAUAGCGGCUUAAUGCGUAGGCGGUCGGCGGAAUCCCCUGGAAAGGGGGUGAUGCCAAUGGAAACGUUUCAAGCACUGCAAUUGAUGUUCCUUUUCGGAAUGUUCAUUCUGGCGCUUUUGACGUAUAUCCGUAAAAAAUAGAUCGCCUACCGUGGAAAGGUUAAACGCGACCUAUUUUUCGUGUUGACUUCCAAACUUAAAGCCGACCGCCAUAUAGCGCGGCUAUUGCAGGACCGUGGACGUUAGAGCGUCUGCG